RNAcentral lists this ribosomal RNA (253 nucleotides) under uncultured bacterium. RNAcentral's name for it is "partial 16S ribosomal RNA". It matches the Rfam family "Bacterial small subunit ribosomal RNA", at positions 524 to 776 of the family's 1533-position model. The record is from RNAcentral.
UACGUAGGCAGCGAGCGUUGUUCGGAGUUACUGGGCGUAAAGGGUGUGUAGGCGGUUUCUUAAGUUUGGUGUGAAAUCUCCCGGCUUAACUGGGAGGGUGCGCCGAAUACUGAGAGGCUCGAGUGCGGGAGAGGAGAGUGGAAUUCCUGGUGUAGCGGUGAAAUGCGUAGAUAUCAGGAGGAACACCUGUGGCGAAAGCGGCUCACUGGACCAUAACUGACGCUGAUGCACGAAAGCUAGGGGAGCAAACGGG